GUUUUUUUACACCAUCGUUUUCCAUUCAUCACUUUUACAUCCUUGGUCAUCAUCUUUAACCAUAUUUAAGAGACUCCAAAUCUGAGAUAUUACCACACAUUUGUCUCACUUUUUUUUUCAUUUACCCUUUCUCUCUUCCCCUAUCAUUCCCUAAAUCCUUUUCUUCCUUAUUCUUGGAGUGUGUGUUGCCUCUCAUCCAACUUGCUACGUUAUCACUUUCAUUUACUCACAAAAAUACAAAAUUUCAAUCUCAUGUCUCAAAACAACGAAAAAUGAUUGCUACCAACCAUCCAAUACAAAGGAAAACGUUGUUUCUUCUCAAAUUAUUACCAGUCUGUCUUCUGUUUUGGAGAAAAAAAGUUUACCUUUUGUUCGUCAUUUGUUCAACUCAUCCUGUUCUGACUGAUGUGUUUAGAGAGAUUCGGUGUGAGGUAGUAGGUUGUAUUGUUGAAAUAUUACACCCCAAUUGGCGGACAUAACUAUACAACUUGCUAGCUUUCCUCGAUCCUCUCUACAUGCUCCUAGUGCUUCUCCUUGUGAUUUAUAAUUAAUCCUGAUGAUGAUAAACCAUGUCCGUAUAAUAUUCAACUCAACUAGUUGAAUUUUUAAAGAUUUAAGCACAACUCCAGCUGCUAAAGGAGUAAAAAAUAGAGCAAAAGGAGAGAAAUAGGAAGUGAAUUACAUAUCUUUUGUUAAGAAAUUGAGGAGCACCCAACCCUUGUCUUUUACUGUUGCAUAAAAAGACUUAUGUAUACAUAAGGAACAGAGGGAAAUGUUUACAGACCUGGUAAGGAUGAAAGAAAUGGCAAUUGAAGGAUCAAUUUUUGUCUUCAAUGCAAAGAGUUGACCUAAUCUUCUGUGGAUUCAAUGACCUGUCCAAUUUUAAGUCGAGAAUGAAGAUAACCCUCGCUAACCCAAAUCCACAUUGUUUUAUCCCAUGGACAAGAUUAUUUUAAACGGAUUUUUGGUGCAGCUUGGAUUAACAGUCAACAUUGUUAUUAACACUUUGGAUGGAACAAGAUUUAUCCUAAUUUGACACUUUUUUGUGUAUCAAAGAUGCCAAAGAUGGAUUGAAAUACAUUUAAAUUGCUGUUAUAAUGACGCUGCAUGCAUUAUAUAAUGUUUUUGAUGGUUCAAGAUGAUAAUUUGGAUUGAUCUAUAGAGUGUUCAGAUUACAACUUGAAGAUACCUCAAUAAUCAAAUGUACCUUGGAAGGUUGCUUUUUUAAUGAUACAGAUAAUGAUGUCUUUCUUGACCUCUUGACCAUCUUAUACUCGGCUGAGAUUUAUUUUAAUCAACCUAAAAAUAAUCCAUUUGUGAUUAUGUAAAUACAAUAAAUAUUGUUCAAUCUAAUUGUAAUUUAAUAUGAAA
This is a long non-coding RNA of Tetranychus urticae (two-spotted spider mite), 1371 nucleotides long. RefSeq lists it as uncharacterized. Lineage: Eukaryota; Metazoa; Arthropoda; Arachnida; Trombidiformes; Tetranychidae. The record is from RefSeq and is a predicted model, not a curated record.